Molecule: long non-coding RNA, 2278 nt
Organism: Helianthus annuus (common sunflower)
Lineage: Eukaryota; Viridiplantae; Streptophyta; Magnoliopsida; Asterales; Asteraceae
Exons: 4
Source: RefSeq, a predicted model, not a curated record
GGCGAAUCAUGACAAUAUAACCGUCGCACGUCACCGUCGCCGGAAAGUGACGGUACGGACUUGUCUACACCGUUUUGGUUGUCAAUUGCACCUUUCCGUUUCCCGUUGGAGGCAACGGAACCAGUAGACGAUUCGUCAUUCAUGUGUCCACCUCCGGCAGUGGCGAAUCUGACCUAGAAAUCACCGUCACCGUGUUGUUUACGGUUUCCGAUUACAUAUUCCAGAUUAUGAAGAAGGUGCACAUAUCAAUUUGUUGAAGAUGCAACAGGACUGGUACUUACCAGCUUUUGAUUGGUGUUCUUGAAUUCAAAUAGAAGACCCAGACGUGCCGCCGUACUAUAUCUCCGGGGACUCUGCAAUACAUUGACCAACUCUCUUUCUUGACACCAGCUCCAUCGCGGUGUUGUAUCAGAAAAGUUUUUAUUUCAACUAUGCACCUGGCAAAAUGGUAAGGUCGGGUUGGGCGGUGUGUCGGUCAGAAUGUAUUUGGGUCAGUAUUUAUCGUGUUAAUAAGUGGUCGUUUUGGUUCAGGUCAAAAUGAGUUCUAACCAAACUAGGUUUGGCUCAAAAUGGCUUCUGGCCGAAAUCGGUUUGGGUCAGAACAAGUCGAUUUGAAGAAGAUUCAAUUUUAAAAACUAGCCGGCCCGAGCCCGAGCCCGAGCCCGACUAGGCUUGAGCUCGGCUCGCCAUGUUUUUCUGAAGCUUGAGCUCGACUCAGUUCGAGCCAACUUAUUUGAGCUCGAGCUCGGCUCGCGAGUAAAACCCAAAGCUCGAGCUCGGCUCAAGCUAUUUUGAAAACAACCUAAAACGAGCUAAAAGCUUGGUUCGAGCUCGCUUCAAUAUCGCUUAAAUGUGCCAAAACUGGGCCCGAGCUCGGCCCGUCACUGUUAUCAUCAAUAUCGCUUCAAAAAUAAAAUUUUGUUUGGGCUCGUUUAGGCUCGCGAGCCUAAACGAGCUUUGUAUUCCAGGCUCGAGCUCAGGCUCAAUAACUCAACGAGCUCUAUUUCAGGCUUGGGCUUGGGCUCAUUAAAGCUCGGCUCAUUCGAGCUUUUAACUGAGCCAAUGACGAGUAGCUCUCGAGCCUUUGGACUUGUUUACACCCCUAUUUGUAACAGUAGUUAAAUAUCUAGUUGUUCAAAAGCCAUAUUAACCCAGGAAUAGUAUAUACAACUGAGCGUACUUGUAUAAAUCUGCAAGAAAUAUGGUGUAUUCUUAUCCAGACGAGCAAAAGUACUAACCAACCAAAGUAUAGAUCUGUAAGAUAACUCUCAAGUGCAGUAUUGCUCUUAUACAUCAAACAUUACAGCCAAGUGUUUGUAUUUCCUUGAGAAAAUAUUUGUUAUCCAGUUCAAUAAAUCAUUCAACAGGUUGCUUUAUAAGCUUUAUACAUUUCAAAAGUACUAUGCAUUUCAAAACAUGUAUGUAUAUAAAAAAAGGGAAAUGGGAUAUAUAUACAUUUCAAAAUAGCCCCUUUUAAUGAACGGACUACUUUUUUGAACUGAUGAUAAUAGUACUAUGACAAUUUUUGUAAAAUUAGUUUCCGAUAUGAUGAACAAUAUUAUAGAAUAUUACUGAGGUAGCCCUUCACUAAAUUGCCAAAUAGACCAGCUAUUGCAAAAAAAAUGACCAGUUUAGGACAUUUGAGCAUAAUUACAAAAUAGACCAGCUAGCUAUCCUGUGAUAGUUGCCCAAUUAAAUUUAGAUUAAGAACUGUUUUGGCCCAAUCUAACCCGAACCUUUUGACCCAUUACCCAUCCCAUUUGACCCGUCCAUUUUUCCACAUCUACCAUUUUCUUUUAAAUGGGAAUGUGAUGCAUUGCUGGUGGAGGAUGUGUUGGAAGUUGGAUCUGAUAUAGUUGUUGUGCAUGAUGCUGCAGCCUCCCGGGUACAACGAUUAACUAAGGUGUCAAGUGCGGUUGAUCAUGUGCAAAGUGCGAACAUAUCCCUUAAAAAGACAAGCCGAGUCAAGCCCAAGCCAAGGCUGGCUUGCUCGUUAGCUCGGCUUGGUUUGGCUCAAAUAAAUUUAAAGUGAAAGUAAAUAUAUUUGAGGCAAACUAAGUGGAGCUAACGAAGAUGCUGAUGUUGAAGAACAAGUGUUUGCUGAGCAGGACAACGAAGAUGAAGAUGAAGUUGAUGACGGUGUUGCUAAUCUGGAGGACAGAAGGGUGUGUCUCGUUGAUCAACGCGAAUUGUGUAGUUUUAAUUGGUAACUAAUUGUAAUAUUUUUUUAGGUUGAAAAUUUGAUUGGUGUAGUUUUGGUUGAGUUCUUUGCACCAUG